AAAGCAAGCAAACUGGUUGCAUUUUUUGAAUCAAGGUAACAGUUGGUAUUAGUGGAGAGCUGAAAAACGAGGAAUAGAAGCUUUUGCGAAAGAUUAUGAACAAAUUGUUGUAAUGGAGUUCCGACGGCAACUUCAUGUAAAUCAACGAACUCAAAUUCAAUAUAUUCGAAUAUAGUACUAUCCGAUUUUUUGUACUUCAUGUCGUGCAGAAUGUAAUAAACAGACCGAACAACAAUCAUUAAUUUCUCAGGGCCAAUAUUCUC
This is a non-coding RNA of Schizosaccharomyces pombe (fission yeast), 263 nucleotides long. NCBI's taxonomy places the organism in Eukaryota, Fungi, Ascomycota, Schizosaccharomycetes, Schizosaccharomycetales, Schizosaccharomycetaceae. The record is from the annotation of a GenBank genome assembly.